This 43189-nucleotide long non-coding RNA is filed under the name Vitis vinifera (wine grape). RNAcentral's name for it is "long non-coding RNA (VVIN_LNC001384)". Lineage: Eukaryota; Viridiplantae; Streptophyta; Magnoliopsida; Vitales; Vitaceae. The record is from RNAcentral.
ACGUUUCUUGUGCUCAUUCCUAAAAAGGAAGGAGCCGAAGACCUAAGAGAUUUCAGGCCAAUCAACCUGGUAGGGAGUGUGUACAAAUUGCUUGUCAAGGUCCUUACUAAUAGGUUGAAAUUGGUGAUGGGGAAGGUGAUUUCUGAUUCUCAGCAAGCUUUCAUCUAAGGGAGACAGAUUCUAAACAUUGCUCUAAUUGCUAGCGAGGCCCUUGAUUCUAGAUUGAAAGACAACACGCCGGGCCUCCUCCUUAAGAUGGAUAUUGAGAAGGCAUUUGACCAUGUCAAUUGGGACUUUCUUAUGGUUGUGAUGUCUAAGAUGGGAUUUGGGCAUAGAUGGAUCAAUUGGAUGAAAUGGUGUUGCUCUACAGCUACCUUCUCAAUCUUCAUCAAUGGGAGCCCUUCGGGCUUCUUUCGUAGCUCUAGGGGAUUGAGACAGGAUGACCCCCAUUCCCCCUAUCUUUUCCUUUUGGCCAUGGAAGCUCUUAGUCAACUGCUGUCAAGUGCAAGAAAUGGUGGCUUUAUUUCCGGGUUUAAAGUGGGAGGAAGAGGAAGAGAGGGCUGAUUGUGUCCCAUCUCUUGUUUGUUGAUGAUACCUUGAUUUUUUGUGACGUUAAUGCAAAACAGUUGCAAUAUCUUAGCUGGACUUUUAUGUGGUUUGAGGCGAUUUUAGAGUUAAAAGUUAACUUGAGCAAAAGUGAGGCCAUCCCAGUGGGUGAAGGCGUUCCUAUGGAGACUUUUGCCCCGGUCUUGGGUUGUAAGAUUGGGAGUUUACCCACCUCCUACCUAGGUCUCCCCCUUGGGGCCCCUUACAAAUCCACUAGGGUGUGGGAUGUAGUGGAAGAAAGAUUCAGACAAAGAUUGUCUCUAUGGAAAAGGCAAUAUCUCUCCAAAGGUGGCCGACUUAUCUUGCUAAAAAGCACCCUCUCUAGCCUCCCAACCUACUUUAUUUUUCUCUUUGCGAUUCCCAAGAAAGUGAGUGCAAGGCUCGAAAAGAUUCAAAGGGAUUUUUUAUGGGGCGGAGGCGCCUUAGAGAAUAGACCUCACUUGGUGAGUUGGAAGAUUAUUUGUGCUGCUAAAAAUGAUGGAGGCCUGGGCAUCCACAGCCUAGCUGCCUUUAAUAAGGCCUUACUUGGGAAGUGGUUGUGGAGAUUUGCUAAUGAGAAUGACCCCCUAUGGAAGCAAAUUAUCACUGGAAAGUACAGCAUUCAAGAGGGGGGGUAGUGUUCCAAAGGUUAAGAGACCGUUAUGGUGUGGGGGUUUGGAAGGCCAUCAUAAAUGGUUGGGAGAACAUUAGAACUCACUCCCGUUUCAUCAUAGGGGAUGGUAGUAGAGUGAAAUUUUGGAAGGACUUGUGGUGUGAAAAUCAAUCUCUAGAAGAUGCUUUCCCAAACUUGUUUAACUUAGCAGUCAACAAAGAAGGAUGGGUUGCUAAGGCUUGGGAGGAGGAUGGAGUUGGGGGCAAUUGGGGGCUACGUUUUAAUAGACACCUAAAUGAUUGGGAGGUGGGGGAAGUAGAAAGCUUGUUAAGUAAGCUUCAUCCUUUGACCAUUAGAAGAGGAGUGGAUGACUUGCUUUGGUGGAGAGAGAACAAGAAUGGGACUUUCUCAGUCAAGUCUUUUUAUGACUCGUUCUCAAAGGGCACUAGACCUCCUUUCCCAAAUAGAGUUAUCUCAACGCCUAGGGUUCCAAUUAGGGUAGCUUCUUUGGUUGGAAGGCGGCUUGGAGCAAGCUACUCACCAUUGAUUGCCUAAAGAGAAGUGGUUGGAACAUCCCCAACAGGUGUUAGCUGUGCAAAAAUGAAGAGGAAACCACAAAUCACCUUCUUUUGUUUUGUGAGAAGGCUAGAAUGUUAUGGCUUCUGAUCUUCUCCCUUUUUGGGGUGCAAUGGGUGAUGCACUCCUCUGUUAGGAGGAACCUCUUGGGAUGGCAUGGUUCUUUUGUGGGCAAGAAAAGGGAGAAAGCUUGGAGAGUUGCCCCCAUCUGCUUGUUGUGGACCAUUUGGAAAGAAAGGAAUAGGAGGGCCUUCGACGAUGUUGAGAGGAAUGACCAAGAAAUUAAAUCUAUUUUUUUGUACACUUUUGUGAAUUGGGCUAAGGUGUAUAUAGAGGAACACACUUUCUCUUUGAUUGAUUUUGUAGACUAGUUAGCUACCAAGUAAGGGACAGGCUUGUUGCCUUGUUGCUUUUUGUUCUUUUGUUCCCUGGUAUACUCCGUGUAUACUCUUUAGCCUCUUUGGCUUUUAAUGAAAUUUUCCUUUACCUAUCAAAAAAAAUUCUUUAUUUCUUAUAUACAUCUCAACUACAUGGGUUGCAUACCCUUUUGGUGUUCACUUCAAAACAUCUCAUUUACUUAUUAGAAAAUGUGCUAAUUUCAAAACAUCUCAUUUAGUUAUCACCAAAAAAAUGUGGGAAACAUCUUUCUCUGUGAUAUCCUUGAUAUUUCAACAUUGUCACGGUAUUAUAAAUAUUUCUAAUGUUCUUAUAAUAUCUCAUCUAACAACUUUUUAUAGGAUAAAUUAAAGAAAUUUGUAGAGUCAACCAAUUUUAUUUACAUUUAUCUUCUCAUAAUGUGCAAAGUAAUUUGCAUUUCACAAAAUUAACUUAUGACAUCUAAUUUUGAAAUAUAAGAUCCUUCCAAAGAUUGUCCCCCACACAUCAUCUAUUUAUUAAGAUUAUUUUCUUUUAAUAAGGUUUUGACUCAGAUGCAUUAUUGUUUAUAUAACAAUUCCUAAAACUUUAUAUCAAUUUUUAUGUAUUGCUAGUACUUCAAUCAUUUGUCUCAUCAAUUUCUAGUUUGAUUCUUAUGCUUCCAUAGAAUCUUUAAAUGGUCCCUCUGUCCAAUAUAAUGGCAUGGUCUAUAAUUUUAAAAAACAUAGCAUUGCCGCCUGCAAAAUGCUUGAUGAAACCAUAGAAGAACAGAACAGAGGAAAUGAAACAAACUUAACAAGAUCACAUAAGCAUGGAUUACCCGAUAAUAGAAAGGAAUAUUAAAAUAAAAUAUUACCCCUAAAAAUCACCCCUGAAGACGCACCACCAAUUAUGCCACUCAACGUAACCUUGAAUCCUAGUGGAGAUAGGCUAAAGAAAAACCAAGCAAACUCCAGAAAAAGACAUCUCCAAAAGCCCUACCCGCUCCUCAUUUUCUCUAUUCUAUUUCUUCCACACCAAAAACGCCCGGAAAAUCACACAAAUAUAUAAGCAUUCUUUUUCCGAAAUUUGUACCCAAAGCUAAAAAUAAACACAAAGUACAACUUCAACCAAGCAAAACAAACAUGGCCUGCAGAUUUGGGCUAAUCACCAAAUACUGAAAAGGCCAGUUGAAAUCAUGAAACAAUAAAGAGAACAAACAAACAAUAAAAGAAAAUUAUAAAUAAAAUGGAAAUUACCUUGGACGGCGGGAUGCGGCCAAAGGCCAAGGGGUUAGACGCGAAGAGAAGAGCGGAAUGCUCGAGCUUUAAAUGGAGAAGGCGGUUACAGAAAUCGUUAUCAUAUGAAGAGCAUUGUGUUUUUCGGUGUUGCAUGCCAUGGGUGUCGUGAGUCUCGUGGGACUGAAAUUCCAAUUACACCAUGUUGAAACUUGGAACUUUCCCUCCCUCUCUGCUCUCUGUGUUCAACUUUUUUGUUCUCUUUUAAGUCUUAAAGCGCUUCCCAUUUUUUUCAAAUCCCAUUGUUCUUUCCUCUUCGUUUUUUAUUAUUAUUAUUUUUUAAAAUUUUAAGAUGCGAAAUGUUAUUAUGUUAAGACCUUAUUCAGAAAAAUUGAUUCCAUGGGUUUUCUUAUUUUUUUAAUAAUAUUUUAACUACUAAUAUAUUUAAAUAAUAAAACUAUUAUAAAUAUAUGUAUUAUAAUAUUAAUUAAUUUUAUAUACUAAAUUCAAUAUAUAAGAAUAAUUAUAAUUAUUAUUGAUAUAUUAUUGAUUCAUACAACAAACUAAGGUGGUGUUUGUUUUUUUGGCUUUUUGCUGAAAACCAUUUAGUUUUAGAAUUUAGGUUGUUUGUUUUUUUACUUUUUCAUGACUUAUUACAAAUUUUUUACUAAAUAGAAAAAGCCAAAAUAUGUGGCUUUCUCUAAAUAGAAAAAAUAACACAAUGAUUUUUUUUUACUUUUUAAUACUUAAUAAAAAUAAAAUACUACAAAAAUAAACAACCUAAUAUUUAAUACUAUUAAGUAUUAAGGUUCUAUUUAGAAUUAAGUAAAAAAACAAACACCACCUAAGUCUCAAAAAACAAAUUCGUCAUUAGUAAAAUAAAUGAUUGUCAGAUAUCUAGAUUCUGAGUUUUAUAGUUCUUUUAAUUAUAAUCUCAUCACUGAAGACAACAUUAAAAAAAAUUCAGUUUUGCAAAAGUCCUUUAUCAUUUUCAAAUUUUCUUAUAUUUUCUUUUAAAAAUGAAUUCACUCUAUUUGCACUCUUCUCAAAUACCAUAUGUCAACAAGAAGAAAUUAUCUUCAUCAAAACAUCCAACUGUCCAAAUAUUAUUAUGGAUUUCAACAAGUUUUAAUCUUGUGGAUUCCAACAAGUUUUAAGUCCAUUAAAUUUCUCUAUAAAUAGAGAGAUGAAAUUCAUCACAAGGCUAAGGCGAAAAGAGGCAAACUAGAGUUAGCUAGAGUGUUCCAAAAAUCUCUCUUAACUUUUCGUAAUCCCUCUUCAUUUAAAAAUCUUAUCAUUUGUAAUUAAAUACCUUUAUUAUCAACAAGCCAAUUUGUAAUCAACAACUCAUUAUGAUCAAAGUAUAUUUUCAAUACAUAAUUUAUUUUCAAAUUCAAUUUUUGUGUUGUUGUGUUCAAUUUUUGUUUUCAAUUUUAUGCUUUAUUAGACAAUAAUUAUAAUUUUGAUUCAUAGACGAAUCAUCUUUUGAUGUUUUAGAAAUGUUUUUAUGUCCUAUAUGUGAAUGGUAUCAAAAAUCUAGAUUUUUUUGGGUGUGAGGAUAUAUAAAUUUUUAAUUUUCUUAUAAGUAAUGAUAUUGAUUUUUUCUUAAACUAAAUUAUAUUAUAUUUAACUUGUUACAGAAAAUGUUUAAAACUUUGAAAAAAAAAAUUGUUAAUUUAAUUCUAUUCGAGCUUUUAAAAAUGAGUAAUUUUACUUUAUUUGAGUUUAUAAAAAAUAAUAAAAAUUAUUGAUUUCCUUUUUAGUGUAUUAAAUUAUUUUUAAAAAAUAAAUAAUUUUAUUUCUAUUUUAUUUUUAAAAUAAUUUUAGUAGAUAAACUUGAAAAUAAAAAAUUAUUAUUAUUUUAUUUAAAUUUUAACCACUAAAGUACUAAAAAUGUAGAAAAGUCACUAUUCAUCUAUAGUGUGAAUUUCAAAAGUAUUCAAGCCCAUGUAAAUAUUGUCUUUUUAUUUUUGGAUCUUUUAUUUUAUUUAUAAUAUAAAAAAUAUUCACUUAUUUAUUUUUGAAGAAAUCAUAUUUAUUCUGUUUUUAUUUUGAGUUUUAGAAUUGUCUUGAGUAAAUUAUUUGGUUAUCUCAAUUUUUGUUUCUAAGUUUUGUUUUUUACCAUUUCUUUUUUUGUGUUUUUUUUUUCGUAUCUAUGUUUGCUUUUUUGCCUCUCCUACUUCUUCUCGGGUAGACGAAAAUAAAUUUUGAAAAAUUUUUGUUUCCUAUUGAUUAAGAGGCAAAUUAUUUCACGAGGUGUGGUGGUUGUGCUCUAGUUUAGUUAUUACUAUUGUAAUACGAGUUUUCUAAAUUUGAAAAACCAAUAAAAAAAAUAACUAUCAUUUUAAUUAGUUAUAGUUUAUGUGAAAAGUUUCUAACUUGAUUUUUAUUUUAUUUAUGUAAAAUGUUUUUAAGAAGAGUUUUGAAUUAAGUUCUUUUGGCAUCUCCCUAAGGUGAGAAAAAAAUCUCGUUUAAUAAAAGUAUUAGAAGCAAAAGCAAUUGUUUUGUAAUUUUGAUAUUAAAUAACAUUACUUGAGAUUGUAUUAUUAGUUAAAAAUUAGAAAAUGUGUUGCAUUCGAUGCUAUAAUUAUUAUGAAUAUACGUAUUAUAAAAUUAAUUAGUUUUAUCCACUAAAUUCAAUAUUUAAAAAUAUUAUAAUUAUUGUGAAUAUAUUAUAUAUAAAUAAUAAUAUUUAUAAAAUAAAAAAUUAUGUUUAACAUAUGUGUAGACCUCCUUUUUAAAACUAAGUGGUACUAGUUUUUUUAUUUAUUAUUACUGUUUUUAUAAUUUAAAUCAAAGGGUGUUUCAUGGCCACCUAGGAGGAGUUGGAGAGCUUUCCAUUUGGAGUGGGGGACAGCUUUCGCGAAGCUCAAUGCAUGGACGUGUGGCAAGGACCACCACCUUUCCAUGGUGGUGGUUGAGAGAGGGACAUCUCCGAACGAGGGGAAUGAUGGCUGGAACAUAGAGCUUCAUAGGAUGACAGUUGAAGUAGGGGAGCUGGUGGUGACGUCUUGGUUGAAUUGGGAGCAAAAAAGUUGGUAGUGGCUUGCGAGAGAAGACAAAAAAAAAGAGGGGCAAAAAGCUAAAAUGGGAGCGAGAGAGGUUUAAGGGGAGUUAGGAAGAAAAUUUGGUGGAGCUGGAGAGGGAACCGGUGAGAAGAAGUGAGAGGUUGAGCUAAGCAUUAGGAAGUCGAGCAAUCUCUGUUUUAGAUGAGCUCUCAGGUAAGUUUAUCAUGUAUUUCUUGUUCAUCUUCACUACCACUAUUCUCUUCUUGCUAUUUGGAGUUUCGUUUGUUUGUUUUGUUAUGGAUAACAGAAGCUACACAGGAGUUCUGAUGAUUUUUGGCUCGUUCAUAUGCUUAUUUUUAUUGUUUCAUUCACCGUUCCUUUAGUAUUGUUUGAACUCAAUGAAACUCUGUUUCAUCUUGCUUUAUUUGAAGAUAUUGGUUGUCUAUUUUUUUUCUUAGUUCAUAUAUUGUUUGUUUGUUUUUUUUUUUUUGUUCUCCUCCGUUCUGGUCUUUGUUCUUCCUUGUUAGUUUUUUUAAUGCACUCGAUUAUGGGACGUGGAUUGAUUAAUUAAUCAGUCGGAAGGAUUGUUCUUGAGGCUUGUGGAGUUGAACACGAAGAGUAUGGCCGUGCAUGGCUCCCUCAAGACUCUUGCAAAAUCCAUCACCCGCUAUAUCCAUUAUCAUCCACAUCCCUUAUUUUCCAUAUCCAUUUUCUCCAUCAAUCACACCCAUUGCAGCCAUUUGUUUCACCACCUCAUCCAUGCAAACUCAUUCUCACUCCCAUGCACAUGGCCGCCUCCAUUUUCAUUCCUCCAUCCUUCGUACUCACUGAACUUAUCACUAUACCCACCAUAUUUCAUUCAUUUCCACACCAUACCCACCACAUCAAACCCAUCCUUCAUUCCUCCCAUCCUCCAUACCCACUGAUCGCUCAUGAUUUUGCCUUUUAUUAUAUCAAAACAAAAUUUAUAACCUAAUUCACUAUUAUAUAGCAAUUUGUACCCGAUCAAAAAGUAGUUUUAGUACAAACUACUGUAGUAGAGUGGUUUUUUAGGUAUUGUCCACAAUGAUGAAUUAUUCUUGGUAAUUAAGGCUUGAAUGAAAUGAUUGUGAUCGAAUGAAAUUGACUUGAAAUUGCAUGAUAAAAUUCCAAAAUAACAAUAUAUUCAAAUUGAGAGAAAAAUGAAGUGUAAAAGAGAAUAAAAUUAAUAGGAGGUGAAAUUCUCGGAGUUAGGAUUUUCUAGAAAACAAUUUCUAUGGUGAAUAGAUGUUAAGAUCUAAUUUUCAUCAAGUUAGAUUGAAAACCUAAAUUUUCAUCUAAACCAAUUUUUGAUUUAGCUUUAGGUUUAGAUCUAAUUUCUCUUCAAAUUAGGUAAUCUAAUCCAAGAGAUCAAUUCAAAUCAUAUAUUCAAUUCAUCUUAAAUUAUAUUCCAAUUAUUCACACAAUGUAACUAUUCAAUCUCAUCAAAUCUAGCAUUAAGAAUUUGAUGAAUCUACCUAACUUGCAUUGUAGUAAUCAUCCAAGACAAUUUGAAGAGAAGAAUCCUCAAAUUUCAAUUAAUCAAUCUAUUGGAUCAAAUUACUUUUUUAAUUCAAGCUCAAUUCUCUAAUUCAUCAUAGAUCUUGCCUCUAGAUUCUCCCUCAUCUGAGAAAAACAAGAUUUAGCCACUCAUGCUUGGAGAUUUGGUCUCACAAGGCAUAUUUGGCUAGUGAGAAAAUGAGAGAAAAUGAAGGAAAGUAAAAAAUUCUAUAGAGAGAAAAUAUGAAAAGUUCUACAAUUAGAAAAAUGUAAAAAAAAGUCUUUCAAUGAGUCAAUCCCGUUUCUAUUUAUAGGCCAAGGUCAAGUGGACACUUGGCAUCAUCUAAGAGGUCUUCCGGAGGCUUCUUCAUCAAGGAAUCUAAAGAAAAUACAUUUUAGCACGAGCCCCAACAAUUUCGCACGAUGGUACGAAGUGGAGAAUCCAUCAGCAUUAUUUUUGUCUUCCUGUAGCGUUUCACAUGACUAUGCGAAUAUUUCGCAUGGUCAUGAGAAAUUGAAAAACAUGCUUUUUUAACUUCUCUUUGCAAUCUCUCCCAUUUUUUCAUUUUUAAUCCACCUCUACCACCUUUAAUUGAGUUCCAAAUCCCAAUCCAAACCGAUUGCAUUGCUUCUUUCAUCAUGUAUUUGGAUCAUCAUCAACUUUAUUUGUUUUCUUCAAUUUGAUUCAUCUCUUUUGUCACCAAUUUAUCAAAAUCAUACCUUGAAAUAACUCUAAAACUUCCUAAAACUUGUUAGUAACUCUCGCAAGGGCAACAACAUGUUAAUUGAGUAUUUUAGGCAAAAUUGCUACUUUAAAGAUGUGAAACUCAUGAGAAUUAUUAUAUAAAAUAUGCUCUUUUUGAGUAGUAAUCACCCACCAUUUAUCUCUCUACACCAUGUACCCAUUUUCUAUACCCAUCAAACCACCUAUUUCUACCCAUCUCACUACAUCUUUUCAUCUUUCCAUACCCCCAUCACCCACUUCCCUCACUAAUUUCCAUCACCCAUCCAUCAUUCAUUUCAUACCCGUUUAACUCUAUUACCCACAUGCAUGGAGUCUGAUGCACUAGAUAAUGCUAAAACGAGGUUGUAUGGUGAUAAGAGAAGAUUGUAUUUCUCGAAACUGCAGCUAGAAAUAGGAAUUUUGGGUGCCAAAUGCAACACAUAGGGGGUUUUCCUCACCUACAGAAAGUUAUGGUGCCUCCAAAAACUUACCUAAGAAACGAGUUCCAUGUGCAUAGUAGUGAGAAUGGCGGUUAAGUAGGGAGGUGGUAGUAUGUGAUGUAAAAAAAUGGGUUUGUGGUGCUCUCUGGUAAUACAUGGAGUGGGUUGUGAGUGUUAGCAAUACAUGGAAUGAUUUUGGUUGGGGUAAUCUUCUUGUAUGACAUACAGGGGCAUUUGGUGGAGCCACAGAUGAAAUUUGCAUGCUUGCAGGCACGUUGCAUGAGUUGCAAUUCAAUUCUUUUGUUUGUUUUGGGCUGCCAUGAUGCUCCAGGCCCAUGAAUUUUAUUUGAAGGCCUUUCUACACCUUGGACCCACCACUAAGUGUGGUCAUUUUGGCCCACAGUCCCAAUGGACACUUGAUUUUUUUUUGUUUAUGGAUAUUUUAAUAACUUUCUUAACUCAGUUUUUCAAAUACCUUUCAUAAUUCCACUUAUCAAAUAAUAUCAAAACUUUUAUUUUAUAAUAGUCUUUCUUAGUUCCAAUUCUCAAAUAAUUUUAAAUUUUCCAUUUUUGAAUAAUUUUCCGAAAUUCCAAUUUUCACGUUUAUUCAUUUAAUCAUUAUUAUUUUUUUUAUUAUUUUAUUUAUUUAUCUAUUUUUGAAAAUUCAAUAUUCACUUAAUUUUCAAAAUUCCAAUUCUUAAAUUUAAUUUUCGAAAAUUCCAACUCUCAAAUAAUUUUUUAAAAUUCCAAUUUCUUUCAAAUUUAAUUCCCACAACUCCAAUUCUUAAAUUUAAUUUUAAAAAAAAAUCCCAAACCUUCAAAUAAAUUUUUGAAACUCCAAUUUCUUUCAAAUCUAAUUUUCAAAAAAUUUCAUUCUCAAUGAUUCUUCAAAAUUCCAUUUUCUUAAACUUAAUUUUCAAAUUUCUAUUUUCAAAUAAUUUUUUCAAAAUUUCGAUCCUCAAAUUUAAUCUUUAAAACUCCCAUUUUAAAAUAGUUAUUCAAAAUUCCCAUUUACAAAUUAAAUUUCUAAUUUCAAAAAUCUCAAUAUUCACGUUCAUUUAUUUAAUUAUUAUUUUCGCUUUUAUUAUUUUUAUUUAUAUUUAUUCAUUUAUUUAUUUUUAAAAUUUUCAUCUUUAAACAAUUUUUCAAAAAAAAUAUUAUUAUUAUUCUCCAAUAAAAAUGGCCCCACGGGUUCAAUUCUCUCAUGAUGCAAAUGGUUUAGCAGCUAGCAUUUUGACUUAUUUUCCAACCAAACCUACCAUUUUGCACCUAGGCCACACGUUGCAUGGCCAUCUGGGCAUGCAACCUAUCACCACCACUCGUUACUUAUUCAUUUAUAUUUUGACAUUAAAGUUCAAUUUUUCAAAAUUCUGACUUUCGAAUAUAAAUUUCCAAUUUCAAAAAUCUCAAUAUUCACGUUCAUUUAUUUAAUUAUUAUUUUCGUUAUUAUUAUUAUUCUAUUUAUUUAUUUAUUUUAAAAUUCCAUCUUUAAACAAUUUUUCAAAUUUUCGACUUCCGAAUUUAAAUUUCCAAUUUCAAAAAUCUCAAUAUUCACGUUCAUUUAUUUAAUUAUUAUUUUCGUUUUUAUUAUUAUUCUUCUUAUUUAUUUAUUUUAAAAUUCCAUCUUUAAACAAUUUUUCAAAAUUCCGACUUUCGAAUUUAAAUUUCCAAUUUCAAAAAAAUUUCAAUUUUCACAUUUAUUUAAUGAUAAUUAUUUUUGUUAUUAUUAUUAUUAUUAUUAUUAUUAUUUAUUUUUAAAAUUUCUAUCUUUAAAUAACUCUUCAAAAUUUCAAUUCCCCAAUUUAAUUUCUAAUUUCCAAAAUUUCAAUUUUCGCAUUUGUUUAUUAUUACUAUUAUUUUAUUUAUUUAUUCAUCUAUUUAUUUUGAAAUCUAAUUUCUAAAACUCCAAUUCAUAAUUUAAUUCUUCAAAAUUCAAUUCUCGAAAUAAUUUUAUAAGACUCUAAUUUUGAAUUUAAUUUUCCAAAAAAAAAUUCCAAAAUUCCGAAUUUAAUUUUUAAAAUCCCCGUUCUUAAAUUUAAUUUUCAGAAUUUCAAUUUCUUUCAAAUAAUUUUCAAAUUUAAUUUUCUUAACUUUAAUUUUUAAAAAAAUUUCCAAAAUUCCAAUUUUCAAACUUAUUCUUUUAGAAAUUUCCAUUCUCAAAUACUUUUUCAAAAUCCCAAUUUUCGCAUUUAAUUUUUAAGAAAUCUCAUUCCCAAAUAAUUUUUCCAAGUUCCAAUUUACAUGGCUCCCAGUUUCAAAUUAUUUUUCUAAAAUUCCAAUUUUCCAAUUUUGUUCUUAAAAUUUCGAUUUUCAAUUUAGUUACAAAACUUGAUUUUCAAAAAUUUGUCUUUCAAGUGGUUUUAAAUCUUUUAAAUUCUUUAUUUGAUUUGUGUAUUUGCCUAAUUUAAUUAUUUUAUUUAUUCAUCUUUCACAUAAUUAUUCAUUUAUUUAUUUUAUUAUUUUACUUAUUUUAUUUGUUUAUUUAUUUGUUUGCCAUUAUUAUUAUUAUUGUUAUUAUUACUGUUAUUUUAUUCUUUCUUUAUUUUCCUUUUUUUCAUCAGAAUCCUGAUUCACCAAAAUCUAAUUUUUUUAAUAAACGUGCUGCCAUUUUUCAUUCAGACAUGCAUCUUGUGAUUUUCUUCGAUUUUUAAUUAUUUUCCUCGUUUUUCACUGUUUUAAUAAGCACGAAGACAAUUUUCAUAAUCCCAAGAUAAUGGUAUUUGUGAGAUUAAUUCAUGCAAGAUCAAUUGGGUUUUGGUGGGACCCAACAUAUGUGGUUUUCUCAUUGAUUGAUUGAUUGAUUACUAUGCUUGAUUGGCUUACCUCACUCUAUGACAUGCAUAAGAUUAUUCUGUAUUUGUGCGCUAACCUUAUCUCUUAUGAUAGCGCUUAGCUUGAAACUAAGGUACGCUUCGUACUUGAUUGUGUACAUCAAUUUAUUUGUUAUCAUGCAUGUCUUACUUUCACACAUUUGAUCACUAUUCAGUAUCCAUGUUUAAUCAAUCAAUUGUUAUACUUGCUUCAUUUUAUUAGUAGAGACCCAUCUUUUGGGACUUUACUAUACCUUCCCGAUAAGUAACCUAACUCCCAAACCCGAUUUGGUUUUUCAUAGACCACAUUUUCUGAAAUAAGGAGUCACACUUAGGGUUUUCCUUCUUAUUUUGUUUACCUUUUUAAAAAAAAAAAAUAAAUAAGUGGCAACUCCAAGUCAUUUUCUAAUCAAUAAAUCUUUUUUUCAAAUAAAAAGUGAACUCCCCGUCGAGUGGGGACGCACGCGAAAAUGCAGGGUCCACAAUAUGAUAUUAAAAAAAUAAUUUUAAAUUAAAUUAGACAUUGAUUAAAAAAAAAGUCUUUAUCUCAUAUUUUGUCUUUAAAUUAAUUUAAUUAAUUAUAAUUAUAAAUAAAAGUGAAAAAUGGGUUUUGACUCACUAAUAUAAAAAUAUAUGAAAAAAAGAAUCCUAAAUUUUUAAAUUAGUAUUAUCUUCAUAUAUUUAAAAAUAAUUUGAAAUACAUGUACUUUUUAAUAACUCAUCUAAUUAUUCCUUAAAAUGUCUCUUUCACUUGUUAUGUCAUCAACAUUAAUUGAUAACUAGAUUGCUUUUCGUAAAUAUUUCAUUCUUUUUAGAUUUAUUAUUAUUAUUAUUAUUAAUGAACAUCUUAUUAACAAAUACUUUUUGGUUGACUAGACUAUAAAAUAAAUAACCUAUUGUCACCUUCAACUAACCUACAAAUAGACAAACACUAGAUCUAGAUUCAACACAUGUGUUGGGCACUGCACCCCCUAUCUAGAUAUGGUGUAAACUAGAUUUAUGACCACUCCAAAUCUUUAAAAGAGUAGUAGGCACUAACUUAGAUGUGACUAGGUUCAAAAUGUAGAUCCUUAUUUCUAAAGCAUAACCCUAGAAAAAGGCUCGUAAUGUUGAAAAACUCAUCAUUAAUCUCACUAUGUCUAUGAAAGUUCAAUUUUUGCUUUCUACUAUUCCAUUUUGUUGUGUAGUUCCAUGAGCACUUAAUUGGGAUAUAAUCUCAUGCUCCCUAAGGAAAUAAUCAAAUUCACCAUAUAUGUAUUCAUCACCUUGAUCAAAUCGAAGUGCCUUGACAAAAUACUUUUCUUAUUCCACCUUAAAUUCUUUGAAUUUAUCAAAGGCAUCAAAUUUCCUAACCAUUACGUAAACAUAUCCAUACCUAGAGUAAUCAUAAGUAAAUGUAAUGAAAUACUCAUAUCAUUCACAUGCACAGACAUUGAAAGGUCCACACACAUCGGUGUGCACUAACUCCAGACAUUCAAAUGCUCUAUGUUCUUUAGAUUUAAAAGGUCGCCUCAUCAUUUUACCUUUAAUGCAGGAUUCACAUAAUGGCAACGCUUCAAGAACCAAUGUUUCUAAUGGACUUGAACUCAACAAUCAUGGAAUCCUACUCAAGAUUAUAUGACCCAACCUUAGGUGCCAAACGUUUUUCUGAUUAGUGGUAGGUUGUUUUCUUUUACGAGUCAAUGUAUUCUCAACUUGGUUAGUUUCCAUAAAAGUUGCAAUAAUAUAGUAAAAAUUGUCAAACGAUUUUCCAGUACAAAUAAACAUCUUAUUCUUUCUUAGAACAAUGGAAAUAUCAUUAAAAGAAAGUGAAUAGUUCAUUUUACAUAGACUAUGGAUUGAAAUUAAAUUCUUUCUAGACUCCGACACAUAUAAGCAAUCCUAGAGUUCCUGAAUAUUAUUCCCUCUAACUAGUAGCUAGUCUAAUUGUUCCAUUAAAGGGAUUUUUGAAACUACAUUAACUGACUUAUGAUUCUUAAGAAUCCCCUCAACCAUUUGUUAUUCCUUCAUCACAUUUGGUAAUGAUAAGAUCAUUAAAUUCAUUGUAUAGUUCAAAUUAAACUAACUAAAGGAUGUUGGUAAGGUCUCAUUAAAGAGACUAAUCCAAGGAUCUCCAUCUCAUUAAAGAUAUUGAUCAUCUUGAUCAUUAACAAAGGUUCCUUUAGACAUCCUUGUGUUCAUUAUCAACCUUAGGAUUGCUUGUCUAGUAGAUCUACCCUUGUCACCAAACAUCUCUUAUAGCUUGGAAAGGAAAUCAUAUGCAAAAUAAAAGGAUUGAUGUUGUUGUAGCAUAUUGUCAAGCGACCUAGGAUGUAACACCUCAUUAUCUCAUCAUUCUUUUUCCACUUCUAAUAUGUUUCCUUUUCAUCCUAUGUGAAGGAUUCAGAAGGACCAAUUGGUGGAAGCUCGAGUUAUCCAAAAGAGUUGCUUGAUGGUAAGGACUAUUAUUAAAUUCCUCGUGGACUAAAAGACAUGAUUAGCUAUAUCAAACGUAAAUAAAAUGUACACUAAUGAUAAUGCUCAAACCAACAAACCAAUUAAUAUGCAUUAAUUCUUCAAUAAUUUUAAAUAUUUUAUAGUACUCUAUAAAACUAGAAAAUUAAUUACUAUAGUAUCCCAGUUUCAUAAGAACUUUCUAUCCCAUUUUAGGCGGGCAUAGAUUCUUACAAUCAGGUAGAACACAUAUCUAAUCAAUCUCAUCAUCUAUGAUCAAUCAUAAGAUGAGAUUAACAUACCAUAUAUUUGGCCACUUGAAAAGAAUGAAAAAGGAAGUACUUUAAGGCAAUUAUACUAUCCUAAUCAAGUCAAGUGUACAACUAUUACCAUUGAUAUCAAUGUUAUUGAGUAAAAAAGUUCCAUUGUAGGAUCGGCCACUCUUCCCUACAAACUUAUGUAUUUUAUCCAUAAAGGAAGUUCAAAAUCUAUGACACCAUAAACACACCAAUCUUUAGGAAGCUUGUACCUAUCACCAAAUUGAACUUGGUAGUAGGAGACCGUGAAUUUGUUGAGACCCUCUCUCACUUGAGGUUUUGAAAAAUAAUGAGAGUUUCCAACUCAUUUACAAAAAUUUUAUUUCUCAUCAAAUAUUAAUUUUCUCUUAAAACUUUCUAAUUACAGAAAGUACCAAAUUCCCUUUUAUGGAAAGCUUGCCAAAUAGGACCGGUCAGUACUUAAAGAAAAAUCCACUUUCCAUAUUUUGGAAAAAAAAAAAAAGUGACUUGGACUUUCUUAUCUUUACUAAUCUAAUUUGAAAUGAAAUUUUCAAAAUAGUAUUCAAAAUUGGCUUUACUUUUCAUAAUUAUUUCCAUAAUUUAAUAAGAAUUAAUCAAUCAAUUAUUUUCUAAAAUUUUACAUAUAUCCUUAAUUUAUUUCAAUUUUUUUAUGCAUUAAAAUUUAAAUAAUUAAUUUCACUCAUUUAAUUUUAUAACUACCCAUCAAAUUGCAUUUUUUUUACCUUUUUUUUUAAUUAUGAAAUUUAAAUCUUGGAACAUUAAUUAACUAAGAUCUACAAAUCAAAAUUCCUUAAUUAUCCCAAUUUUGCAUUUUUAAAAUCUAUGAAAAUUUUAUGCACAAAUUUUUGGACAAUUAAAUCUUAAUUUUAUCAAGUUUAAAUAUCCUAAUUAAUAUGUAUUUCGCAUUUCCAAAAUUAUCAAGGAUUUUUUUAAUCCUAUAAUUUUAUGCAAAAAAAUUAAUUACAUUAAACUUGUAUUAUCCUAGCAUUUCAUGCAUCAUCAAAAUCAUUCAAGAUUCUCAAUUAUGCAUCAAAAUAUUUUUCUGGGAUAGAUUUUAAAUUAUUAUUUAAUUAAUGCAUGCAACCAAGCAUUUAAAAAUAAGAGGCACGUGUAUUAUAAAAUUAAUAGCAUGCAAACAAAUAUUAAUAAUAAGUAGUUUGAUUUUAAAGCUGUAGCCCAUGGUCGGUCCACAUACAAUGGAAGCAAGUGGAGUGCAUUCACAUGUUUGGAAGAGACCUAUUGUUGUACUUGUACUCCACUAAUUUCCAAAACGAGGUUGUCAAUUUUGGUCAUAAAUCUCAUGCCUGAAACUCCCCAUUUAAUUCCGCUAGUAGCCAUGCUUGUAGACUGACAAAUUACAAUGGAACUAGGAAAAUUAAAAUUAGCUCAAUAGAGGCUUAUACAACCCAAUUGAAGAAUCGGAAACAAACCCUAUAAAGCCCACAAAACUAAUGGAAAUGUAAAAAAAAAAAAACUCUUAAAAAUGAAAUUAAAAGUAUAAUAGAUAUUUUAAAGUUGUUUGUUGAAAAAAUGAUAUAUAUAUAUAUAUAUAUAUAUAUAUAUAUAUAUAUAUAUAUAUAUAUUGUGUCAGUCCAUAAGAAAUGUAAAUUUUGUAAGUGUACACUCAUGAAGCUACAUGAAAGAUUUGAUUUUAUUAAAUAUCAAUAAUUUAUACAUAUUAAAUUGUAAUGACCCUUUUGUACCAAAAUGAUGACCGAUGUGGUUCAAUGGAAUUGGUAGAUGAAGGAAUCCUAUCUUGUUGUUGAAGACAAUAUUGGUACCAACUCACUAAGUCUCGAUAGUAUUGAUUAAAAUUCUGAAUAUGCCAUGCAUAGAUCACUUGAGUCCUACCCAUCGCUUCUACAUGGAUGAAACACUUAGGAUUCACCCAUGUGCUCGUGUCAAGUCCUCCUUGCAUCUAAUAUGGAACAUGGUAUGAUAUUUGUGUAAAAAGAGAAUAAUUGGACAUAUCAUACUCUUCAUCGAUUGAACUUGGAGCCCAUCACAUAAUUUUGAGAACAUUUACCAUAACUCAUCACAUAAGGAGGGUAAACGUUAGCCUCAUUCAAUGAGUCAAUAAAUUUAAUCCCUAUACUCAGACUUAAAACUAGGUGAAAAUAACUCCUAGUUAAAUGAUGUCAUUGUCCAUUAUUUCAUUUGUAUGACUUCCUAAUUGCUCCUAUGCCUAGACUAGUUUUUCUAGAGUUAUGGUUUUCAUUUUGUAUGCAAUGCGUGAAAUCAUCUUCAUAAGUGAAUGGGCUCAUUCGAUAUUAACAUUGUUGUUGUUGCCCAAUGGCUCCUCCAUUACUUCCUUUAUUAUCACAUCCAUCAUCAGUUCCACCUCAUGAACCAUAGUAACCAAAAACAGAAGUACCAACAACGCUAGGUCUACUACUUUGCCCAACGUUUGUGAAGUCAAACAAAGGUUGGGAAUUCAAUGUCCCCUUAAAUGAAUACUCAAUGUAUUUGCUAAAACUCUUAUUAUGAACUUCUUCAAACAACACUUGUUCAAUAACAAGACCAAAUUCUCGAGUAUGAAUGAUAAUUCGUGGAUCAAGAUUUCAAACGUCAUCAUCUAAGUGUAGAGGUCUGACCUAUUAGAACAAUUGAUUAUCAUUUACUUCACUUACCUUAGCUGAAAUGUCAAGGAAAUCAAGGUAAUCUUUCUCAGCAACUUCAUCAUUUCUGUUUUUAUAUUGCAUACCUUAAGUUUUAUGUUAUAGCAAUACCAAAAAAAAAAAACUAAUUGUUGCAGUCAGAGGCAAGCCGAAUGAUUUCGUUGCUUCGUGUGGAUGAGAGCAAAUGUACUCCGAUUUCUCUCAUAGGUAAAAGAUAAUGGAAAUUGUGAAAGAACUUUGAUGACCAACUUCUUCAAUGUAGGUGUAUGGUUUCUAUAAAUGAACCACUAUUCAGUUGCAACCAAAUUCAUAAUUAUAUAAAUACUUAUGUUGUAAAUUUAUAACAAUGAUAAUCAAUAUAGUUUUCUAUUAAGAAAUAGACUAUACUCAUUUGAAACCAUGGUUGACUUUGUUACAACCACCGCUCGAUCACCGAAUCAUCUAUUCACAUCUCGAAAAAGUAGAAGUUAUGUAUUCACUAUAUCAAUAUCAUAUUUUUAGUAAAUGUUGAGAGAAAUUGAUGAAUGAAAUUAUUAUUUGAUUAGAUUGGGUAAUAAAAUAGUUUUUAGUUUACCUCAUUUCCAAAUUGACAAAACACUUUAGUUGUUGGGUUUAAUUUAGCAAAAGCCUCAUGGACCACUUGAAGUAACUUAAGAUCGCUACCAACUUCACGCCUAUAUUGAAACCUAGGAAUUAAUAAGUAUGUUAUAACAAAUUAAGUAGAGUUAGUAUUUUGUAAGAGAAAAUUAUAUAAAUCAAGACUAAUAACUUAUGGAAAUGAAUUGUACUUAAUUACCUACUACAUGAAGUGAAUGUUAUAGUGUUUUUUCCCAACGAUCUUUGAUUAUUUGGAACAUCCAUUCUCUAACAUGUAGACGAAUAAGGUUAUUUUUUAUCACUUGCAUAAGCUCGUACAUAAAGGGCAUUGUAGAAACAACUUUUAAAUCCACAAGUCAAAGCACCAUGUAUAGCGACUCAUAUAAUAAAAGUACUUUUGCCAUUUUGUUCUAAUACGGAUGGUCGAACAUUAAUUUCUCCACUUCUUGUCCGAUUUUUGUCUAACUAAGCUUAUGUUGUGCCAAUUCAUCACUUGUAAACAAUUUCUUCAAAUCAACCAUUUUUUUUGGAAGGUUGUUAAAAGCAAUAUAAUUGGUGGCAAACCUCGUAACUCCAGGUCAAACAAUGUCUUCACUACAUAACUUUUUCAUUUGUGCAAGUAACCAACUAUGGUUGUAAAUGAAGUUGGUUAUCUUGCGGGCAUUGGUUAUUACUUCUAUAACACAUGACUUUUUUAUUGAUAUCUUUAAACAUUAUGGGAUGCAAUGCACAACAGACAAAGUCCAAUAUAUGUUAAACUUCUUCAUCAACAUUUUUUUUGCUUUCAUGAAUGUCGACCCAUUAUCUAUGACAAGUUAGUCCAUGUUUUCUUUUAAUAUUGCAAUGAUAUAGUACAAAUUGUUCAACGAUGUGCCAUUACAAAUGAACAUAUUAUUCUUUCUUAGAACAAUGGAAGUAUCAUUAAAAGAAACUAGAUAAUUCAUUUUAUAUUGACUAGAGAUUAAAAUUAAAUUCUUUAUAGACUUCAACGCAUAUAAACAAUCAUAGAGUUUUAGAUUAUUAUUCCUCAAAUUGGUAGUUUAAUUGUUCCCAUAACAUGAACAAUUAUCUGAGUAGAAAAGGCAAGAGUCAUAAACAUCUCUCCAUCAUCGAGUCAUUUGCAAACCUGAAGCCCGUUUUAUAAAGAAUUACAUAAAUGGCUUUAGAAUCUAUCCACCAAUAGCUAGUGAAAUUUGCCACUAAGCAAGACUUAAUAACUAAAAGUGAGUGAUUACAUUUCUUAUUUUUGUGGAACUCAAGGCAUUCAUUUUUCUAGUGGCCCUUUUUGCCACAAAAGAAACACUUCCUUGUAGGUUUCUUCCUGAUCACCUUUCUACCCUUAUUCUUUCCUUGUUUGGAUUUAGAUGAAUUACUAAGAUUAGAGUUAGAAUUCUUCCUCUUUAUUUUCGAAGAUUUGGAAGAGUUUUCUUAAACUACAUUAAUUGACUUAUGAGUCCUAAGAAUCCCCUCAAACAUUUAUAAUUCCUUCAUCAACUUAAAUUGACAAAAGGAUGUUAGUAAGGUCUCAAGUAUCAUUUCAAUCUUAGUUUCACCAUCAAUCUCUGCUACAAAGAUCUUCAUCUCAUUAAAAAGACUGAUCAUCUUGAUCAUAUGCUAUCCAACAAAGGUUCUUUCAAACAUCCUUGUGUUCAUUAUAAACCUUAAGGUUGCUUGUCUAGUAGAUAGACCCUUGUCAAUGAACAUCUCUUGCAUGUUAUAAAGGAAAUCAUAUGUAGUAGAAAAUGAUUGAUGUUGUUGUACCACAUGGUAGAGUGACCUGAGGAUGUAACACCUUAUCAUCUCGUCGAUCAUCAUUUUUCCAGUUCUAGUAUGCUUCUUUUCCAUCCUGUGUGGAUGAUUCACAAGGAGCAAUUGGUGGAUACUCUUAAGUUAUCCAAAAGAGUUGUGCGAUGAAAAUGACUAUAAUUAAAUACCUCCUCCAACCAACAUAGUUUGGUCCAAUUAAUUUGUUUUGGGUGAGAAUGAUUGUAAUUAAAAUGAAAGACAUGAUUAUCAAUAACAAAUGUAAAUUAAAUGUGCACUAAUAAUAAUGAAUACUCAAAACGACAAAUGAAUUAAUAUGCAUUAAUUAUUUAGUAAUUUUAAAUAUUUUAUAAAUUAAUUGCUAUGGUAUCCCAAUUUCAUAAGAAUUUUCUAUCCUAUGUUGGACAAGCGUAGAUCCAUACAAUUGGGUAGAGCACUUAUCUGAUCAAUCUCACCAUCUAUGAUAAAUUAUAAGAUGAAACUAACAUAUCAUAUAUUUGGCCACAUGAAAUAAAUGGAAGAGAAUGCUUUAAGCAAUUGUACCAUCCUAAUCAAGUCAAUUGGCUAGAUUGUAGUAAAGAUACUACCAACUUGAUAGUUGAAGUGCUCCAAUUUGAAAUUUCUAAAAUAGUUUUCAAAUUCAACUUUAUUGUUCAAAAUUAUUUCCAUAAUAUAAUUAGAGUUAAAUAAUUAAUCAUUUUCCAAAAUUUUAUGCAUAUCCAAAAUUGAUUUCAAUUCUUUUUAUGCAUUGAAAUUUAAAUAACCAUUAAAUUGCAUUUUUGCCUUUUUUUUAUAAAAAAAAAUGCAAUUUAAAUCUUGGAUAAUUAAUUAACUAAGAUCUACAAAUUAAAAUUCCUUAAUUAUCCUAAUUUUGCAUUUGAAAAUUUUAUGCACAAUUUUUUGGACAAUUAUAAUCUUAAUUUUACCAAGUUUAAAUUUCCUAAUUAACAUUUAUUUUGCAUUUCCAAAAUAUCAAGGAUUUUUCUAAUUCUAUAAUUUUAUGCAAAAAAAUUAAUUACAUUAAACUUGUAUUAUAAAAUUAAUAACAUACAAACAAACAAUAAUAAUAAGCCGUUUGAUUUUAGAAUUGCUUAAAAGCAAGCAAGUGAAUUAUUCACAUGCUUGGAAGAGCUGAUGUUGUACUCCACCAAUUUCCAAAAUGAGCUUACUAAUUAAAGUCAUAAAUCUCAUGCUUGAAACUCCCCAUUUAGCUCCACAAAUAGCCAUGCUUGUAUACUGACAAAUUUUUUCCCAUUUCAAUUAUACUUUUAACCCAAAACCAGACCAUUUAAAUCUUCAUUCAAGUUUUGCAUUAAACCAUCAAUUUCAUAAUAAUGCCCAUGGAAACCACCAUAUGACCCACCAAUAAUUCAACAUGAAACAUCAUAAACAAUCCAACAAGAAAAUUUUUGGCAAGCCAAAUUUUCAAGAUUUUAAAACGCCAAAAACUUCAUUUCCAGUAUGAGCUUACUAAUUAAAGUCAUAAAUCUCAUGCUUGAAACUCCCCAUUUAGCUCCACCAAUAGCCAUGCUUGUAUAUUGACAAAUUUCUUCCCAUUUCAAUUAUACUUUUAACCCAAAACUAGACCAUUUAAAUCCUCAUUCAAGUUUUGCAUUAAACCAUCAAUUUCAUAAUAAUGCCCAUGGAAACCACCAUAUGAACUAUCAAUAAUUCAACAUGAAACAUCAUAAACAAUCCAACAAGAAAAUUUUUGGCGAGCCAAAUUUUCAAGAUUUUCAAUCACCAAAAAAUUCAUUUCCAACAUGGAAAUAUAUCAAUGCUCAAAAGCAACUAUGAAACAACAUUCUAAGAAAUUAUUCUGCAACCAAUUUUCUGUCGAAAAAAAAAUCGGCACUCAUUCUAAAUUUUCCAUCAUUGUUUUCUCGGAUGGAUUUUCCUUACAAUUUAAGAACAAAAUUUCAAAUUACAACAAAAUUAGGAAAAUUAAAAUUAGCUUAAUAGAGCCUUAUACAGCCUAUUCGAAAAAUCGAAAACAAAAAUAAUUCUUAUGAACUUGACACAUCGAAAAACAAAAUCAACCCGUAACUUAAAACCAUACAUUUUGGUUGAACUCUGGGAUACCAAAAGCUGCAAAACAAAGGUUAGCUUGUAUUUGAACCAGACAUUAGACAAAUUGCUUUGAUACCACUGUUGGAUUUCAACCUUUUGCCCAACUUUUGCAAUGGUAAACAUAUAGGAUAGGUAAUAGAAAAUUUAUACUUUGACAUUUUUUUACGACAAAAUAAUCGAGAGGAAUAAGAUCAUUACCUAGGUUUCACAAACCUAAAUUCCUUGUUCCUUGUAUUCAAUAUAGAACAAUCUAUAACUCUAAUACCCAUGAUCUUUCACUCAAUCUUACCGUAGUGUAUCAUCAAGUGGGUGAUGAUGCUUUGUAAGAUUUGAGCUAGACUCACUUUUGGAACGGGAAAAAAAUUCUCUUGUUUUGGUUUCCAAUUUACAGGAGGUGAAAAAUGAGAGGAAUCACCUACUUCGAUAUUUCCAUGCCCCUUUAUAUACUAAGGAGGAAAAGACCAAAAUGCCCCACCAUAUUAGAAAACAAAUUCAAUCUCCAUAUUAAGUUCCACAAAGUCAUAAAUUUUGCAAACAAAUAAAUACACAUAUGAAGGUAGCUUGAUUGAGGACCAAUGGAACAUCUAAUUGUGGCUCCUAUGAAAUUAAUCAAACAUAAUAUCAUAGUCAAUCGAUCACUCCACUAAAGUCAAUUGAUUGUACUAUACUAAUCAAAUCUACUUACAUGAAGCUAAUAAUUGUCCCACAAACUACUAAUCCUUGUAUUUGUUUCCCAUGAAUUGAUAUUCGCUAUCCACCAAUAAAUUACAUCUUUAUCUUUGAGUUACAAAUUCACUUUUUCCAUGAUCAACCGAUGUUACCAUAUUUUAAAAGGAUAAAACAUCAAUUCCACUAAUGAAAUGGAAUUACUUUGAUUAGGGAUUUACCUUAUCAUGCAUCUUAGAAUUUCUAAAAGGGAAUAUACUAUCUCUAGCAAGAUAUAUAUCAUGAUGCAUCUUAGGCAUACACAAACUACAUGUUGAAUCAAUAAUCGCUCAAGAUCAUAAAAAUAUAUAACCUUUAUGUGGGGUCUUGCUCAUAUGUGACUCAAAGUCAUCGCUAACCCAUACAUUAGCCUAAGUAUCCUUCAAGGUUAAAAACUCCUACAAGAUAGUAGCUAGGAGAGCACAAGUCAUUCAAAUAGCAGUAGAUAUAUUCUUCGUAGGUCUUGUUCAAUAUAUAACCAUAUGCAUUGGCCUAUUACCUUAAAGAACCACAGUAAUAACCAAUACAAGUUACCUUGCCUACAUAGGAGGUAGCACACUGCAACAAUACUAAACUACCUAAGUUCAUGAAGUAUUGUGAACAAUAGUAUCAAUCAAUAAGGAAUCCAUAAUUAUGUCUUCUAUAUAUCUACUUACAUCCAGUAUGUGUACAAUAUAAACCAAUUGAGCUAAAUAUCCAUAAAAAUGAUGAAGAUAAAGAAACUAUCAAUGCACAUGAUACUAAUGAUUGAAUAAGAAUCAUACAUUACAUUACACAUGUUGCAUCAUGUCUCACUAUAUAAGGCUUAAAACCUAACAUAACUAACUAAGAUGACUCAUGUCAUCACAAAAAAUUGCUAAUUGUCUUCCUUAAUAAUAAGGUUGCAACAUCAAAUGUAGCUGAGUCAAGUGAAAGACUCACUCACCUCCAAGUACAUAAAGUAGUUGGGUGAUACAACAUAUACAUCUAUGUUGGUACAAGUNNNNNNNNNNNNNNNNNNNNNNNNNNNNNNNNNNNNNNNNNNNNNNNNNNNNNNNNNNNNNNNNNNNNNNNNNNNNNNNNNNNNNNNNNNNNNNNNNNNNACAUAAUGUAGAUGGGUGAUACAACAUAUACAUCUAUGUUGGUACAAGUGGGAAAGCAAACAAUUGAAUUUGCCUUAUUGGUCUUAUUAUUUGUCCAACAACUGUAAACAUGAUAGUCAACACCAUUGGAACACAAUACAAUGGACCUUCAUAAAGUAUACUCAUAUACCCUAAACUUUAUAGUAAGAGAAUCGAUAACCUAUUUAUGUUUUUGAGUUAUUGACCUCCAAAACCAAAAUCUUAACAACCUAAAACAAAUACAUUUAUCAAAACUUAUAACAAUCGAGCAAUUCAUCAUUCCUUCCAAGGGAAUGCUUUUAAUUGGAUAGAUAUUAAGUCUAAAUGCAUUUACAAUUAGGAUCAAAUGGAGCGCAAAUUCCUCAAUUGCCUCUAUGGUACCCAACGGAUGGUAAGCAUGAUGGAGCUCAUAAACAAAAAUCAAAAUAUAUAUAUAUAUAUAUAAAAUUGGAAAUAAUGGUGGUUGGAUUUUAUGAAAAUAUUAGGAAAUAUUGAACAAAAAUCCGAAAAAAUACUUUAGAAACAAAAAUUGAUCAAAAGUCAUAAAACUAUUAAGAAAAACUUCAAGAAAUGAUAAAACAAGUUUGAUAAUGAUAUAUAAAACUUAAAAACAUAUUUAAUACUAAUGGAUGAUUUAAUUAAUUUAGAUAUAUCCAAAGAUAUAAAAAAAAAAUGAUAUAUAAGUAAUAUUAGUUUUUUUAUUUAAAAUUGUUUAUAAUUCUUUUUACAAGUUUAUGGUUCUCUUAUAUUUAAUUAAUCUACAAUAUAUAUAUAUAUAUAUAUAUAUAUAUAUAUAUAUAUAUAUAUAUAUAUAUAUAUAACUCAUUAAUAAGAUUAUUGCAAUUAUUCUAUAUUUUUAACAAUUAAUUAAUAAAAUUUUCAAAUAAUAUAAUUAAAUUUAUUUUAAUAUUUAAUUUUGCGCAUGCAUAUAUCACAAAAUCAUCUUAAUUAUAUUAUUUGCAUCUUUUUAAGAAGGGAAAAGUUAUCAUAGAGGCUCUAGUGUCAUUUUUCCCUACCAUGAGCUUAAGUUCAAGCCUACACACUUGCUUUUAGGUUUUAAAAGGUUUUUAACAAUGUGCUAAUAUUGUAAUAGGGUUGUUAAAGGAAAAAUCAAUGAUUUAUCAAAUUUCCCAAAUUUUUACUAAUAAAUCGACAAUUAAUUCUCAAUUGAUUGCUUCACCUAAUUCCUCCUCCAUUUUUCAUAUAAGGGAGCAUCGAUAUACCAAAUUAUUGUUGACAUUUCAAUGAUAAAAUUGCAACAUUUUAACCCUUGCUCACAAAUACCAAGUAGUGGAAAAUGAACACAACAUGGAUUACAUUAACUAUUGGCGUUUUUUAAGAUUUGACUACAAGAAUAGACUCUUUGAGGUUCAAACAAUGAAAAUGUGCAUAUAAGGUAUGUGUUAGGGCCUUUUAUACAUCUUCUAAGGGAUAUGAUCCUACACCUUCAAAGAGUUAGCUACUUGAGCAUAUGAUAUGAAAUUCAAUAUAGCCAACAAUGGUGCAAAAAAAAGACUUUAUCAUUGAUCAACAAAGGAAGAGAAAGAAAUGAUGGGAAGAGGUUUGAGAAGUCCUCAAAGAAACCUAUCAAGGAAUCAAUGACAACGAAUGUGGCUUCCAUCAAAAUUUUAACACAAGACAAAAAGAAAGAGGUAAGAGAGGUAGAAUAAACCUAACCUCUCAUGCUUUGGAUACAUUCAUUGGAUUAGUUGAAAAUAAGUAUUUGUGUGUAAAUGUCAUUUUGAGCUAUGAUUUUUGUAUCAACAUUUAUCUACUUCAAUCUUCUAAAAAAUAUAUCCUUAAAUCGACUUCUUAUUAGUCCAAUUCAUAUAUUCUAUCUUAAUGAAAAUAAUAAAUAUCAUAUCUUUUUAAAAGUAUUGACUUAAAUCAACUUAUUAAUAGCACAAAAUUGAUGUCAUUGUUUAACCAUUAACAUUGAGUGUAAUUCUAAAAUUUUGUCAUAUCAAAAAGCAUAAGCAAAUUAUAGAUUUAAAAGAAUCAAUGCUUCUUCUUAUUUUUAUAAACUAUAGAUCUAUUACCAAUACUAAUGAAUUAUGAAUACCAUUGAGGAUAAGGAAUGGUAGGGGGUGGGCUUUUCCGAGUAUACCCACUCCUUAUUGUCCAUAAUAAGAAGGGUUUGGGAAGUUUUUAAAAACUAGGGAUAGUUUUAGGACAGGUUCAGGUAUGACUUUGUCCCGUCCGAUCCCCCAAUAUAUAAUUUAAAAAAAAAUAAAAAUUGUUUUAGUUAUUUUUUUUUCAUUUUUCAACAUUUUAAUUAUAAAUAAAAUAUUUCAUUUCAUAAAAAUAAAUUAUAAAUAUAUAUAAUUUUUUUAUUUAUAUAUAAUAUCUAUUUUUAAUAAAAUUUUUAAUUUUGAAAAUAAAAAAAUUGAAAUUGUUUUAAAAAAUAUUGGAAAAUUUUAAAUAAGUCAAAACACCGUAGGCAUGGGAAUUCCUAUACUUACCCUACUCCACUCCACUGCAUUUAUUUAUUUAUUUUUGUUUUGUGUAAAUGAAAAUAAAUAUAAAUAAACAGGAAUAGAAUUGGAAUGAGAUGAAUCGUCCCAAACCUACCUUAAUGUCAUCCUAUCUAGGAUGUUGGCAGUUGCAAACAACACUAGUUCUAAUUAAUGUGUAGGUUGAAUUAUGGGAUUGUUUCAAAACCUUUUUGGAGCAUGGGAGAAUCUGAAUGUGUUGAACCAUGAUAGUAAAGCUACCAAAGAAUAUGCUUGUACUUGUUAGCGUUUUUGAAAUGCAAAAUGGGUCAUGUAGACACACAUGUUUUGAUCUCAAUUCACUUCUUAUGCCCUCUUCUUAUUCUAUUUAUUUUCAAUUCAGCAUAAAUAUAGUUUUUUAAUCUUUAAAGAAAAAUAUGUAUUUAAAGGCAAAAAUGCUAAAAAUACAUAUUUCAUUCCAUUUCCUCCCCAACUAUUAAGUGCAAUCAACCGAUUCAAUUUUGAUUUUGACUUUAUUUCUUUUUGUUCUCUAAUUUAUAUUUUUACCAUUUUUUUUUCCUUUAAACUCUGUUUGGUUCUUAGAAGAUUUGAGGGAAAAUGUAAGGGAAAGAAAACAAAGAGUUUUAGUACGAGGAAAAUGAAAUAUUGAUAAAUUAUUUUUAUUUACUAUUUCAAACCGUUUUUACUUAUUUUAACUCAUUAAUAUAAAUAUUAAAUAAUUCAAAAAUGCAUAAGGUUAAGGUUUUAACUAAUUUUAAUUAUAUUUAUUUAUUUUUAAAUUUUAUAUGGGACAACCAAACAUGAUAAAUCAUUUUCUUUAUUAUUAUUUUUCUUUCCUUAAUACUCAUCGGAACCAAAUAUGACCUAAAAGUUUAAGAGACUUGCUAUUAAUAAAACAUAAAAAAUGAAUCCAAAUAGAUACUAAAAGAUCAAAUUUUCCAAUCCAAAAAAAAAAAAGAAAAAGAAAAUUAUCAUAUCCAUCAUGUUGGAACAUUAGUUCCACUUGCAUAAGAAAUAUAAAUUGUUACCCAAGUAAGAGUCUAUUUUAUAAUAUUUUUAAAAAUUAUUUAUAAUUUAAAAAAAGUCUUAAAGAAAAUUUUUGCUCGUAUGUUAAAAUUUAGAAAAUACUUUUAAAAAUUUGAAAAAUCACUUAUAAUGCUUCUCAAACAAAUACUUAAUAAAAAUAUCAUCUUAAAAUACUUUUAGAAACAUUUUUUUUAAAUAUUAAAUGAAAUUAAUUAUACUAUAAAAAAGCAUAAUAACUUUAAAAAUAAACAAUUUAAAUGGUUAAUUAAUUUCAAUAAUAAUAUUAAUUCUAUCAAUAAUANNNNNNNNNNNNNNNNNNNNNNNNNNNNNNNNNNNNNNNNNNNNNNNNNNNNNNNNNNNNNNNNNNNNNNNNNNNNNNNNNNNNNNNNNNNNNNNNNNNNGUACUCACCAAUNCGUUUGAAUUGAUGUUACAAUCUAUAGUUCAUUUUCAUAUGAUUGUAAAAAAAAUAAAAAAUACAAGUGUAAUUUGGUCAAAUUGACUUUACCCAAUUUGAUGUUGACUAAAUAUUUGGACAAAUCAUUAUAGAGUAAUAAAUAAUAAAAGUGUAAUUUGGACAAAUUGAUUUUACCCAAUUUGAUGUCAACUGCAUCUUUGGAUGAAUGUAAAUAAUCAUCAUGGAUUCCAGUGGUCUGAACUCUGAAGUCAAUUUGGAUGGGCUUGGGCCAAGCCCAAGUUCCACCAAAGUUACUGUUUUUAUUAUUAUAUAUUUAUAUGAUUUUUAAAUCAUUUUAAGAAUUUUAACUUAUAAAGUUCUCUCUAAUGGAUAUUAUCUUAUCUAUUAUUUAAAUAUUUAUAUAAAUAUGAUUAAUAUGGAAUAAGUCAACUCAAUUCACUCUUACCCGGGUAAAUUAAAUAUUAUCUAACCGAAUUCAAUUUGAAUUGAGGAAAAAAAAAACGAAGGUAUGAUUAAUUUUGGAUCAAGUUUUUCGUUUGUAUUUUGACUUUUUUUAUUCAGUUAAAAGUAACUUAUCGUUGUUAUCAAUCAAUAUAAAUAAACUGAACCUAUUAAUAAUAAAUUCACUUUAAUUAUAUUGAUAAAUAUCAAUAUGCUAUUUUUAGUUGAAUAAAAAAAAUCAAAUAUUUUGGUGGUAUUUGUUUUUUUUACUUAACUUUAAAUAAACCUUUAAUACUUAUAAUAUUAAGUAUUAAGUUAUUUAUUUUUGUAGUAUUUUAUUUAUAUUAAAUAUUAAAAAUAAAAAAAUUAACAUAUUUAUUUUUCCAUUUAGAAAAAAAUCAAAUAUUUUAAUUUUUUAUAUUCAACAAAAAAAUUUAUAAUAAAUCAUGAAAAUAUAAAAAAACAAAUAAUUUAAAAUUUAAAAACAAAUUGCUUUCCGUUAAAAACUAAAAAAACAAACAAAUACCGACUUAAUUAAGAUUGCUAUAAUAUUUGUAGAUAAUAUUUUAUAACAACUAAAAUUCACGUGUUAGAUAGGAAAAAUUAGAAAUAUAUUUAUUAUUAUUUAAUAUGAAUGGAAAGGCCACAAACUCACAAACUCACAUACCACAAUCAUAUUAUAUUCGUGGGUUAAUAAUUUUUUUUUAGCCAUUUUAGGUAAUAAUAAAAAUUUAGAAAUAUAUUAAUUAUUAAUAGGGAUAAAAGGACACAGACUUCAUAAAUAUUACCCUUUUCUAUUUUUCAUAAAAAAAAUAUGUGGUAAAGAGAUAAAAUUUUAUGGAAUACUAAAUCUACAAAAUCAUCCAAAAAAACCCUAAAAAAACCACGUGAUCCGAUCCAAACCCAAAAAUCAUCCCAAAAAAACCCUAGAAACUCAAAACCCUAGAUACAACCCAGCCCUAUAUGAUCCAAUGUAACCAACCCAGCCCAAAAAUCAUGCAAGAAAACCCUAGAAAAUCAACACCAGACAACUACGGGAUGGAUGCAAUCCAACCUAAGAAUCAUCUAAACCAACCCUAUAUACAAACUAUACAAAUAAUCAAUAUGCAUAAAAGCAGUGCGGAAGAAUCCGACCCGACCGGGAAGAAAACCCAAGAAGAACAGAAACCCUAAUAGCAAAAGGUGGGCCCCACAAAGCGUUGAUCCAAUCACACAAAAUUCUUGGCACCCAAAACUAGUCAAGUAUGGAACCAACGCUGUUCUGCUCCCCCACAUUUGUCACUGCCUCUCUAUACACACAAAUCCCCCAUUAAUAUAUUUCCCUUUUUCUCUUUUUUCCUUUUUUUUUUUCAUUUUUCUCAUUUCAAUUGCUAUUUUCUUUUUCCUUUUUUCUUUUUCCUUAGAAGAGAGAGAGAGGGGGAGAAGAAGGCAAGCCCUUUGUUGUUUCUAUAUCUCCUCCUCACUGUUCAUCCGUUCAAUAAAUUAAUAUUAAAAAAAUCGGAAAAAAAUAAAUUAAAUAUAAUUUUAUUUUGGGUUCCGCCUCUGCUCUGCUGCUCUUCUGCCUCUUUCUCUCUCUCGCUUCUCCGACCUUCGAAACAGCUACGGUUCGCCAUUGGUAAAGCUCUGUUUUUUCUUUCCAGGUUUGUCUUGUUAUUCGAUCUGUGGGACGCCGACGGUUUUCAUCAAUUGAUUACUCGAUUUUUUUUGUUCUCUUGGAUUUUGAUUUUAAAUCUUUUUAGUUUUAGGGUUUGAUUUUUCAUCAGGGUUUUUUGGGGGUUUUUUCCUUGCGAUCUUCUUUGUUUGGGUGAGAAUUGUUGUGGGUGUUAUUGGGCUUCUGUUUCUUUGAAUUGGGUUUGUGGAUUCUUUCUCAGGGUUUCUGUUUUUGAUUCUUUUUGGGCUUAUGUUUUUUUUUUUUGAUUGUUUGAUUUUAGGGUUUAUUGCAGUUUGUUUGUUUUUCCUUUGAUGCGGCUUUUCGUUUCCAAGGAUUUUAAUUGAUGGUUGGUUUAAAAUUUCCGAUGCAAGUGUUAUAUCUUCUGUUUGGUUGCUGAGAAAAUCAAGAUGGAGAAAAGAAGAAAAAAAAUAAAAAUACGAAUUUUCGGAAGAACUUACCUUAACUAGGCCACAUAGUCGUAUAAAGAUUUGUUGAUUUAUCGGGUCCUCAUCAAUGACAAAUCUAAGAUUUCAAAAUUUGCUUUCGUUUAUUUUCUUACAUUCUCUUAGCAGCCUAAUGGUGCCUGGCGGUUUCUGAACCGAUUACUCUGAGGAGUUGCGGUCUGUUGUGCUUGAUGGGAUACUUUUUGUGGAAAAUUAUAGCUUUCUGUUUAUUUCUAAUUUUGCCAUUUUCAAUUUGAUUCUUUUAAUCGUCUCAAACGGGAAUUUUUUUGCUUUUAAUGCAUAACUGCAGAUUUAAGUUUGGGGUUUAUGGUUGAAAAUAUUGGUAAUUAUUUGCUAUAGCUAUAUUGGUAAUUAAGCUUUCUCUCAAAAUGGUGUUUCCUUGGCUAAUUAUUGACUGUUCUCUUGUGGAGUUCCUUGUUUUUUUUGGCAGUGGGCGAAGUUGAAGUAGUGUGGGGGAGGGGGUUUGCAGUGGACAUGGCUGGGAUUGCAAGUGAGGAGAGCGGAAUUGGUAGGUCUACAGAUAUAAUUUCAAGUGGGCAACGAUGCCAGUCGGGAGAAGCAUUGGCAGAAUGGCGGUCCUCUGAGCAAGUGGAAAAUGGAACCCCAUCAACUUCCCCACCUUACUGGGACUCGGAUGACCCCGAUGAUACUGGUAUGGUUUUUUUUCUAAUCCUUUACUUAAUGUAGAUGUCUUUCCUUGUUUCCUUGCUUUAUUUAAUUAUUACUUACCUGUAGUACACCUUUGUGGGAAAGCCGUUUCUCUAAAAAUAGGAAAUUUCAAUUGAGGGUAAUGGUUUAUGAACCAUGCUAAGUUGGAGGCUUGUAUUUUAUGGUCUUGAUGAAAGUUUAAAACUGCAAAUGUACAAAGGAGAUUGAGCUUAGAGGCUUUCAUUUUUAUUUUAUUUUUAAAAAUUUUGAAAGUCAAAAAAAUAUGUGGCCCAAUUCAAUGUAGUUCUAAUAGAAGCCGCUGCUAUUUAAUGUGUAGAAGAACUUUAAUUUUAAAAACUCUUCCUGCAUGCCCAUUACCAACCAUUGCUGAAAGAUGCUUGUCAGUCCCAAAAGGAUUCUGCUCUGAAGUGCCUUUUAUGUUUUACUAAAUACACUGAAAGAUGCUUGCUAAUGAGGCACUCAAGAAGCUUACCAAAUUGACUUUGUAUUUGUUGUUGGAUUAUGUAAUGGAGGUGGAGCUCUGAGAUAAUAGUGACAAAGAUGACAGCAACUUUACUUUUCAGAUGGAAAAUACUUCCCCAUCCGGGGCUCUAGCUUGUACAGUUGCCAAUAAAAAUGAUGGAAUACUUGCACCAUGGUCUGGAGAGAGGGGAAAAUUUAAGUACUUGAAAUUUAAGUAUUUGAAAUUUUUAUUACAUGCAAAUUUAAAGGGGCUUGUUCCAGAUGCUAUUUUGAUUUAGCUUGGUAGGGCCCAGGUUUUCUUGCGGUAUGUCAUUUUCUGAUUUUUCUUUAAGGUUGAAACAAUUUUCUCAGGCCUUGGGUGUCUGUAUGGCGUUAUGGAGUUAAUACCAUUUUUAACUUAUUUUGUGUUAUAUGGGAAGACAUGACCGGAGGGUAUUCAAGAAAUAAAUAGAGAUACAUCGAUUUUGUAAUGAACAAAAUUAUGGUGGAUGCUUUUUUCGCUUCUUGAUCUUCGUCUGAACAAAAUUGUGGUGGCUCAAUCUUCUUGUUUGUUAGGAACAUCUUCAAUGUGCAGUUUUCUGGAUUUUCUUUUUGCUAGCACUCAGCCUUAUCUAUUUGCCACCCUAUCUAAAAUGGAAAAUGGCGUCUCUGCUAGAACUCACGUAGUUUGAGCCAGGGUAGGAGCUCCUAUCUAGUUAAUAGCAUGGGUUGCAAGUAAAUUGUAUCUAUUUUGGAUAAUACAAAUUAAAGCUUCAUGUAAUCACAAAGUGUCUUUUGGUCAGGGUGCAAUUUUUUUUUUCCCUAUUUGUGAGAACACAGAUUUAGAUAUUCAUUUUGUUUUUAUUUAUGUGGGAAACAAACAUGUUGGGUACAUAAUUGCUUCCUAUUUUAAAAACUGAAUCAGUAAAUAGAGCAUUAAAAUUGAACUUUGCAUCGAAUGCUAUGGCAGAAGCUUGUGUCAAACCCAUUGUUAAUGACUUAAUUGAAAUAAUAUGAUAUAAAUCUAGUGCAUUGAAGUAUAAUUGAGAUACAAAUCAACUUGCAACUAGGCUACCUAGAUUUUCAUAUUAUUUAGGUCCAAAUUAUUGAAAAGAUUUUGGAUUUUGGGGUAACCUAUAUAUAUCUCCAAUGUAAUUCUAAAAUAUUGUACUUUCAAUUGAGACUUUUUGUGUUCCCAUGAGGGAUAAGUGUUCAAAGAAACCUGCCAGAUAUCAUUAAAAAUUGUGAAUGUUACAUAGAAAACAAAACUUUAAUUCUGAAAGAGGCUUCUUUGGUUUUUCCCCCCUUCUGCUGUUAUAUGUAUCCAAGAUUGAUCUCUGCUCUUCUAUUAACUUUCUAUGAUUUCGAAAUACCCUUAGAACUGUGGAAGUUUCCUUUAGUUGGAUAUGUUUGAUCAAAGUAUGAAUCAUCUUAAAACCACUGGAUGCAUCCACUUAUAAAAAAAGAAAAAUCUUAAAACCGCUGGAUCUUCAUUCAUAUAAAUGUAAAAGAAUUUUGCUUCAUGUAAUGGUGAAAUAGUAUUUGAAUGAGGAGGUCCCAGCCCUUUUAAUACGUUUCUAAGCUACCAGCAUUUUUAUGCUGCUUUGGUUGCACAUUCAGAACAUUUUCACCUGGACUAGCCAAACUUAUUCAUGAAAUGGAAUUUUGCAUGGCCAUGGCUUUAGUAUGUACUGAUGAUUAUAGUUUCCUCUCUUAAGCAAAUGCUGUUUGCCGUGAAUAUUAGUUUUCCAUAUUUGAAGGGAGUUUAUCAUGUUUUUAAUAUGUAUUUCACAACAAAACUAGAGCAUGAAUUACUACUUCCUUCAUGCGUGUUGGAUAUGUUGUUCAGUAAAGAUAGUGGGAAUAUGCUGUUCAGUAAUGAUUAAGUUUUAAUUUUUUGUUGCAAUCUAUCCUAUUCUUCUUGUUGAGAAUCAUAAGUGCUGUCUCUUCUGCUUUACCCUUACAUGGUUAAAAAUUCUUCAUAAAUUAUUUUUACUGAUUUGUAGGGGCCAAGCCAUCUGAGUUAUAUGGAAAAUACACUUGGAAGAUUGAGAAAUUUUCACAGAUUAACAAGAGAGAACUCCGUAGUAAUGCGUUUGAGGUUGGCGGUUACAAAUGGUAUGAAGUUUUUAAUAUAAAUUUUUGGUCAGAUGUGCUGUCUUCUGGUUCACUUUCUUAUUUUCUUUCUAGUAGAUUCUCAUUCUUGGAAUGCAUCAGCAUCAAAUUCAAUUUAUGUAUCGUAGUCAAAUUUAAAUAUAUGUUUAUAUAUAUAUAUAUAUUUGUUUUUUUUUCGUAUGCAUGAACUAUAUUUAUGUGUGCAUAUAUGUUUAGUGGAUAGAUAUACAUGGGUGCACUUUUACAUCGGUGUAAUGCAGCACAUAGAGUUCAAUUUAAAAAUGUGGUAUGACACAGAAUUUAAUUAAAAAGGGGGUGUGAAACAUUUAGGCUUUAUAAGAGGGAGAAGAAGUUGAAGGGAAAAGGAGAAUCAAAGGCCUGGACUAUUGUGAAGAGAAAGAAGAAAAUCUGUUUGUUUAGAUUUGAAAGAGAACUAAGGAGUUGGAAUGCUUCGUGAAUUAUAUGAUUGGAAAAGCUAAAGUGAGUAAGAAUGUCAAGGUUAGGAACGAGAUACAAUGUACUUAUAAAGUUAAAGGAUUCUUUCAUGGAAUGUGAGGGGAGCAAAUGACAAGAGGAAAUUUAUAAAGUCCCUAAUUUGAUCGCAGAGGAUAGACCUGGUGUGUUUACAUGAAACAAAAAUUCAGAAUAUGAUGGUAGACAUUGUAAGAAGCUUAGGGUGGGAAGACUCCUAGGAUGGGGAGUGGUGGAAGUUAAGGGUGCAGUUGGAGGAGUGGUAGUCUUUUGGGAUAAGAGGGCGCUAGAGCUUAAUGGCAUAGAGGUGGGGGAUUUUUCCAUUUCAUGUCAAUUCAAGUGUAUUGGAGGAUGGUUUUAUUUGGGUAUUCUUUGGGGUAUAUCAUCCAACUUCAAGGAGGGAAAGGGAGGAUCUAUGGGCUGAGUUAGGGGCUGCGGGAAGAUCCUUGGUGUGUAUGUGGUGAUUUUAACAUAGUUAGGUUCUAAAUGAACAUAGCAGCGGGGAUAGGUUGUUUGCAGCAUGCAAAGAUCUUUAGAGAUUAUAAAGGAGUUAAGAGUUGCGUGAUCAUCCUUUGCAAGGACUCCUUGCUUCUCCAUAAAGGAUAGUAGAUGCUAUUGGUCUCGCCAUGGAUGAUUUAUUCCAUUUCUUAGAUUCUUUAAGUAAUAAUGUUAUAAUAUAUAUCUUGUGACGAGAAAAAUUGCUGUAGCCUCCAUGCCAUGUUGCACAUGGUGACACCUUGAGCUUGCAUAUGUGUUCCAGUGUAUCAACAUGAUCACUGUUGUAUAACUGUUACAUGUCUGAAGUGGUCUCAUCUUGAUGAUGGAGUUUUGAACAAUGACAAUUCUGUGAUAUUCUUGUCAAAUGCGUGUUCCAUAGUUAAAUAUAUGAUUUAAACACACUUGCAAUGCAAGCCCAUUCAUUCUAGCAUGAAAAGUAUUUCCACUUGUUAGUUUUAAUUUAAGCUUGUGCUGUGGUUGGCAGGUACAUUUUAAUAUAUCCCCAAGGUUGUGAUGUCUGCAACCACCUCUCCUUGUUUCUUUGUGUUGCUAAUCAUGACAAACUUCUUCCAGGUUUCUUAUUACUUAAUGAUUUUUCUUGAACAAUCAAUGUUCUCAAUCCAUGGUUGAUAUAAUAUAAUUUUUGCUUUGUUUUUGAAACAGGAUGGAGUCAUUUUGCACAGUUUACAAUAGCCGUGGUUAAUAAAGAUCCAAAGAAAUCUAAAUAUUCUGGUUAGUUGGUUAGAUGGUGGUUUAGUUGUUGUAAUGGAGUCUUUGAAUUUACCAUCUUGUGUCUUAACACAGAAAAUGCCAAAUUUGUAGAUACGUUGCAUCGAUUUUGGAAGAAAGAGCAUGAUUGGGGGUGGAAAAAAUUCAUGGAACUAUCAAAAGUGUUAGAUGGGUUUAUUGAUGCUGACACUCUUAUUAUAAAGGCUCAAGUCCAAGUUAUCAGGUGGUUUAUAAUUCAGUGCUUUUGAAGUUGAAAGUUUGUUUGGUCUUUGGGAUGGUACCCUUCAUCAUUUUCCCCUUUCUUCUCCUUUUUAUUUUUUUUAUUUUAAUAUUUUUUUUAACACACAGUGUAGGAACAAAAUAAAUUUAGGCGCCUAUAAAGGGGGGCACAACCCAAGUGUGCCAGGAGUACAAGGCAUGCCAAAAAAACCAAAAAUGGAAAAUAAAGACACCAAAAUGACCUAACAUCUUCUCAAAGUAUCAACAAAAAUCUAAAACUGAAAAGUUAGCAUCAACUAAAAGGCCCCUAAACCACUUGAGAUUAAAAUCUUACUGCUGGCAAUUUACUCCUAUUUUUUUUUCCCAAUUAUGUUUCUUAUAAUAGAAGUUUCUAUGCGAAUCAUAUAUUGUUAACAUAUAUUUGCAAAUUAUAUUUUUUUAUCAUAUAAAUUUCUUUGCAUCUCAUGGCAAUGCAAAUCUGAGGAUAAGAGUGUUAGUUAGUAAUGCUAAUUGUGGUAUGCUAAUUUAAUCUUUCUCAUUGAAGUUUGUUCUGUGAUCAAGUCAUUCUGUUACAAUUCAUUUCUAGAUAUGGACUUCCGGCAAAUAUUUAUUGUGUAUCAUCAGAUUAUAUCUGAAGUGAGAAAUGACGUAAAGAAGAAUUUAUAUCUCUAUUAAGCUAGUCUAUAUUUUUUAAUCUCAUUAGCUUGGAGGGGUUGGGGAUUAAUUACCAACCUGAAAAUUUGAAAUAUUUUUCUCCCCUUCUAAAGAUACCUUUCUUUUGCAGCAUGUAAUAGUAAAUUCAAUUUUCUGCUGGAAUUGGACUACCCAGCACUUACGCAUGACACUUUCAUCUUUCUUUUAAGGAUACCCCUUCUUUUGCUGCAUGCACUUUUAAAUCAAUUUUUUGUAUGCCCCUUGUUUUGCAGUAACUGUACAUUCAACUUUCUGUUGGACUCGCACUACCUGACACUUGCACUUCUCAGAUUUAAUAUCUGAGGGUUGUGCAUAACAUGCUUGAAAUGAUGGUAGUAGGCCUGUCUUACAACAAUAACAGCAGGAACAGCACCACUCCCAACAACAUUUUAUGUGCAUAGUGUGCCUGUUGUUCAUAACUAAUGAACAACAAGGUUGUGUGCCUGUUGUUCAUAACUAAUGAACAACAAGGUUACAUGGAUUAUGGUAUUUGUGUCUGCUGCUGGUAUGUUUAAUUUAUCCAAUUGCCAGAUCUCAGGAUGUGGGAAAUCGGCUGAAUUAUUGAAAUGCCUGUUCAAUUUUCAUUUCUGCAUUAAAAUAAAGUGAAGUUUCUCUGCAACAUAGCUUGUUACACAUGGGCAUUAACAAAAUUGAGUUUAUUUUGUAAAAAAUGAACAUAUUAUGAAGGUUUUUUAGGAAAUUUUGAGUGAACCAUGAAUGUGCUCCCUCUCUUUCUUCAUUGGCUGUUCCUCUUAGUUUGAUAGAAAGGUUAUCGUAGAUUCAAUUUUCCAUUGGCCUCAUCUUGAUUGUAGGCUUAAAUUUUUGAAAUAUUUCUAGUGAGUACUUUUAGGCUUCUCCUCUCACUAAUAUGAUAGCCUUUUGCUUCUGGUUAUGUGCACAAUUUAACAUCUUGGUGACCAAUUCCUUUUUUACUCUUUUGAGUUAUAGGGAGAGAGCAGACCGCCCUUUCCGUUGUCUUGAUUGCCAGUACAGGAGAGAACUUGUUCGUGUCUAUCUUACAAAUGUGGAGCAAAUUUGCCGGCGUUUUGUGGAAGAAAGAAGAGGCAAGCUUGGGAAGUUGAUAGAGGACAAAGCUAGAUGGUCAAGGUAGCAUAUUUUCAUCUUCAGAAUGUUGGAUCAUUUAUAACUUCUAUAGAACUGUAAUUAUCAGUUAUAGUUAACAUGAGCUUCUCCGAAGUGCUGGACUUUAUGGUUUUCAGAUUAAAUCGUCUCCUACUUCUAAUGGUCAUUGGUUUGGCAACUGCUGUAUGUCAUUGUAUUCACUUGUGCAAAAAUUGAACCUUCUUCUUCUUCUUUUUUCUUUCCUUUUUUUUUUUUUUUUUUUAAUGGGGUUAAACCUAUUUUACAGUCUGCUUGGGGGAGACACUUUGUACCUUGAUAUUUUCCAUUCAUAGCUUGUGAUCUAUAAACCUGAUCAUUUUCCUUGUUAUGCUUUACCUUUAGGUUGUCAUUUGUUGGUUGAUCUUGAAUAUUUUUGUUGUUAUGAUUUAUUUUUUCGUGAUAAAUAUGAUCAUUUUCAAUAUUUGCAGCUUCUGUGCUUUCUGGUUGGGAAUUGACCAAAAUGCUAGGCGCCGCAUGUCCAGGGAGAAAACGGACUCCAUUCUGAAAGUAGUUGUAAAACACUUUUUUAUAGAGAAGGAAGUCACAUCCACUUUGGUAAUGGAUUCUUUGUACAGUGGUCUGAAGGCUCUUGAAGGCCAGACUAAUAAGAGCAAGAAGGGGAGGGCGAAACUAUUGGAUGCUGAAGAAAUGCCAGCUCCUAUUGUUCGUGUGGAGAAAGAUAUGUUUGUUUUGGUGGAUGAUGUUUUAUUACUGCUUGAAAGGGCUGCUUUGGAACCAUUGCCUCCAAAAGAUGAGAAAGGUCCCCAGAAUCGUACAAAGGUGAGCUGUUGGAUACCUGCCAAAACCUUUAUGGUAAUAAUGGCUUUCUGGAAAUUUCUUAUUAGCAUGAACCUGUGAGUUAGAUGGGUUUAACUCAUGUUAUGAAAUUAGGUUCUUGCUAUAUGAUAAUAAUUUUGUGUCUGAUGAAGUUUGUGUUAUUCCCUCUCCUCUUAUGUUUCUAUGUGGUGGCAUGUGACCUUUUCUUCUAGAAUGACUUCUCAGCUGCUAAAAGAAUGGAUUGUGUGCUGGACGUUUUAGAAAUGCAAACAAACCAUACUGCAUACACACAAGUUAGUUUUGUACUUAGUUUCCAGGAAAACAGUUUGAUUUGUCUGGUCCUUGAUAUUAUUACUUCAUUAGCAUAACAUAUCUAAAUCACAAUUUAGAUUUCCCAUUUGCACAAAUUAGUUUGAUGCCAAGCAGUUUCUAUCAAGUGUAGAUGAGUAACUAGCUCUAAAUGGUAAUUAAUUGUAAAUAAAGCAGGUUCUUGAAAUAAUCAUUUUUCUUCUCUCCCUCUCUCUAUAUCCAUCUGUGUAUCUAUUCAUUCUUGGUGAAUGAAUCGUUUGUCUCCAAGAUUGCCACUGGGUGUCUUAUGUUAUUCUUUAGUUUUAAGGUUUCAGAAAUCUCUUCAACCUCAAUGUGCUAAUGUUUUGGGCCAGAUGAGAGCAUUUAUCAUUACAUUUUGACUAACCUGGGCCACAUAGGAACUUGGGUAUCAAGCAGUUUCUUCUGUUUAAAAUUGAUCAAAUUUACUUAAACAUGACAUCUUGAUUUAAAAGAUGCAGAGUCAAGUUAUUGCACAAGCAACUAAAGUGUUAAAUCAAUCGAGUUUAUUUAUUUUUUAAAUCAUUAAUAAACCAUCCUGUGGUGUUGUAUGGUUGAUGAGUUCCUUCUGCAAAGGAAGUUGUAUAAAAAAUUAGCAGAAGACUUUGGGGUUAUCUAAUAGACUGAACAAGGACUAUCAUCGUACACAUAGUAUCAGUAAAAGGAAAGUUUAUAAUGAAAUCGCACUUGUAAUUUGACCUCACGUACACCUCACAUAAAACUUCUUAUAGUUGUGUUGGGGGCAGGGGUACUGCUAGAGACAGUAAUCAAGAAGCAAUCAUCUUUGCUCAAGUGUGGGUUGAACAUGAGGUUUGUUGAGUUAUCAACUUUUGUAAGAGCUUAAACCAUUAGGACAUGGGCCCACAAAGUAUUUCAAGCUUGCAUGUGGUUAUGGGCUGCACAUGGGAAUAUUAGCAGUAGGAGAGAUUCGAACUCAAGACCUCUAGCUCCAAUAGACUAAUACCAUGUUAAGGUACCAGCCUUCCUAAAAGCUUGAAUUGUUAGGAUAUGGGUCUUAAUUUACAUUAAGCUAACAAGAUUUUCUUGGGAUUUCUCAUUCCCACUUGAGUUCUCCUUUGUUUAUUCAGGGAUCUUCUUUUUUCUGUUUUUAUUUCAUGCAGCUGCAUUUAUUUUCUUCCCUUAUGCUUGAAGCGGAAAGAUUCCGCCUCAGAAUCUUCUUUUCUGUUUCUUUCUUCUUGGGCUUUUUCCUUACCAAUAUGAAUCUUGACUUAACUUUUGAUUGAAAAUUUAUUAUAAAACCACCUAGCAGGAAUUGUCUGACGUAUAUGAUCUAAUUGGUAUUUUGAUAAGUCAAGGAUAAUAGCAUGGCAUGGCUGUUCUAUUUCUGUUAAAAUAAUUAGGAGUAAGGAAAUUACAAUGAUUUUCUGACAGAAGUAAUGGUGUUGACUUCUAAUAUGAUAUUAAUGUGCUUAUUUUGCAGUGUGGCUAACUUUAUCUAUUUAACAUGUAAUGGUCUUUGUAUUUCUUUUCCUUACCAAUUCCUCUUAUUUCCUUAUUUAUGAGUUCACUGUCUCUUGUAUGUAGGAUGGGGGUCCUGGAGAGGACUUCAACAAGGACUCCAUCGAGCGUGAUGAAAGGCGUCUUACAGAAUUGGGUCGUAGAACAGUUGAAAUUUUUGUCCUUGCCCAUAUUUUCAGGUAAUCCAUCCUCAUUCCUCUUCUAAAAACUGUUUAUUGACUUAGUCUUGAAAUAACUGCUUUGUUUUUUUAGUUAUUGGCGUGUAAUGCUGUUAAUAAAAUAAAUAUUUGUGAGUCUCCUGCUUUUCCUAGAUGUUCUUCUUAGUCAAUAAAGAUCACCUUUAGGGAAUGACUCUUUGAGUUUCUCCUACUCUUGCUGACUGCUUAUGUAACUUGUAAUGAUUAAUCUUCUUGUUGCAAGCUGUCCUUGUUCUUAAUGAUUGGAAGACUGAUGCUGUUAUCUUUUAUUCAAAUGGAGACAAUCCACAACAUAAUUUUUUUAGUUUGGCUUGAUAUUUUUUUGUGAUAAUGGCCAUAUGUUCCAGUGUUUUUUUUUUCUUAUAUACUUUGCCAUCUAUACACUAGCAAAUUAUCUGUUUUUGCUUAUCUUCAGAGUUUUCAGAUAUGUUCUAUCUAAUAAUAGUGUGCAAACUUGUAGAGAUUGAAAGCAAAUCCAUCCUUUUAUCAUGCUUUGUUUGUUUGAAUGUAUUAUUUUAUAUUUUAUAAUGAUCAGUCAAAGAUUAAGUCGCAUACCAAAAUAUGAAGUAUGGAAAUGAGCGGAAAGUCUUCCCUCCUAAAAAUUAGGAGAUGCAUAUUGUGAAACCGUAAUCUUAAUGCCAGUCAAUCUGUAGAAACAAUAUUAUCUUUGAAAUCCUAAAAAUCCUUUAAAAUGAGUAGCAAAUGGAUUUCUUUCUGUUUGAUAUACUUUCUUUCUAGGAAUAUUUGUUAAUUGUUAAAAAUGAGGUUACUGGAGUUUUUAGUGGAUGACAUAUUAUCAUUUUUAAUUUCAUGGAUAACUUUGAUUUUUACGAGGUAGUUAAAAUUUUUAGAACUGUUGUUGAAGAAACCCAUAUUACCUAUAAACAAAAAAUGAUGGGGGUAAGAAAAACUGUAGAUUUUGGAUAUGUUCUUUCUUCUGUAAACUGUUUCUGUGAUCUCAUUUGUCAGGCUAGAAAGAAUGGAGAGUAGCAUAAUUGCAGUGAACUCAUUUUUGGUGGAACUUAUUUUGGUGAUUUGGCUCUGGAUUAGGGUGGCAAUUUUGACACCACAUGACAAUACAGCUUGAAAACGAUACGAAAUUUUGGUGUGUUUGGGUUUGGUGUAUCUUAUUUGUCUUAUAAUUGUGUCAGCCCGUGUAAGUUGUUUAAUAAAUAGUCUGUGUUUGAUUUUGAUUGCUUAACCCAUCUAAACCAUUUAAUCUGUUAAGUCUGUCAAAAUGACACGUUUAUGGAACAACCUGUUUAACCUAUAUAAAUUGAUUUAUCAAUUUUAUAUAUUUAAAAAUUAUUAAAAUUUGAAGUAGUUUUUAAAUUAUAAAUAUCAUAUGGUAAAAAAAAUAAAUAACUAACUAAAGUAAUAUUUCAUUAUAAAGAUUAAAAAUAUUUAAUAAAUAAAUAAUUAACUAAAGUAAUAUUUCAUUAUAAAAUUAAAAAUAUUUUAUAAUUAAAACCAUAGUUGUGAAAGGCGCGCCUAGGCUCGGGGUGGUGUGAUGCCACCCUCUGGCGCCUUGCAUGAAGGCAGGCGACGCCCCUUCACGAAGGCGCCGCGUAGGCGCGCGAGGCACUCGCCUAACUCGCCUCCGGCCAGGUAAGCCCUCCUCCUUCUCCUUCUCUUUUUCAGUCGCUGUCGAGUUGCAGAGGGUUGGGGCUGAGAAACCCUAAUUUUUUUUUUUUGAUUUUUUUGGUCCAAAACGACAUCGUUUUGGCCCUGUUUUCCCUUCCAGCCCCCUUUUUCUGGUAUUUUUGAUCCCGACACCACUCCCAAUCAUGCCCUAGCCUCAGUCGUGUAGUGGAGAAGUGAAAAAGAAGAAGAAGAUGAGGAAAAAUAGAGGAAAAAUAGUCAUGUACCUUCCAGGACCUCAUCAUGUUGAUUAAAUUGAAGUUUUGGAUGAUAUUUGAUGAUUUAUGUGUUUAGGACAAAUAAAUUAUUGUUAAAUUUGAUUAUAUUAUAUAAAAAUAUAUAUGUAAAUUAGGGUGCGCCUCACUUCACUAAAGCCCGCGCCUUAGGCUCCAAGACUACUUUGCGCUUUGGUGCGCCUUGAGCCUUUUAAAACUAUGAUUAAAACGUUAAAUAGAAAAUAAACAAGUAUGAACUUAAAAAUUUAAUUUACUUUUUAUAUUAUUAAACAUAUUAUAAUCAAAAUUAAAUAAUUAAAUUAAUUAGUAUUAAAUAAAAUUAAAACUUGAAAGUUAACACACCCAAAAAAGUAUUUUUAAAAACAAUAUUUUAAAAUAAUUAAAUUAAAUAAUAGUCAAAAAAAUUAAAACUUGAAAGUUAAAGCACCUAAAAACUAUUUUAAAAAUAAUAUUUUUGUAGUUUAAAAUUUUAGAUAGGUUAAGUGGGUUGUAAUUGGGUUAAUAGAUUUAAUGGAUUAAAAUCGUUUUAGUGGGUUUAAUGGGUUAGAAUCAUGUUAAAAGUUUAUCUGUGUUAAUUCGUAUGCAAUCUAACUUAAUUUAUAUUUUAAACUAUUCGUGGUCAUGUAAUAAACAAGUCAUGUUCAUAUUAAGUUAUUUUGACACUAUUUUUAAAUAGGUUGUAUUCAGGUUGAGUAAAUUUUUAGUAUUUUUGACCUCAAGUCGACUGGACCCAUUGCUGCCCAUUGAGUAAAUUCAGGUUGCUAUUGUAGGAUGAGGAUGAAAUACUUAUAAUCUGAAGGUCUUGCCUUUUUUUACCUAGAACUUUUACCUUCCUUUGGCUGGCUCCAUCCUACUUCCUUGAAAAUGGGAACCAAAAAUAUGAUGGGAAGCCCUUUUUCACCCUCAACAAAACAUCUGUGCUCUCAAGGACAAGAACAAUACUAAUUUUGGACUUUCCUGUACAAUUUAAAGGAUCUACUGUUCUCAAACGCCAAAUGGAGCUUGCAUGAGCAGCAGGGAAGUAUGCUUUUGGAGAUCACAGAUUUCCAAAUCGUAAAAGGGAGUCUGUUUGAAGAUUUGUUAAUGAUAAAAGGGCCAGUGGUUCAUUGUCCUCUUAAGGGGCCAGAGAUAUAAUAUUCUAUUCAAAAUGCUUUUAAUUAUUGUUGUCUCUCUUCUUUACUUUGAGUUUAUCAUCAUUCAGAUGGUUCUCACUCUUAAUCUGGUUUCACUUGAGAAACCAUGCAAAUGCUGAGGUUCAGCUUCUUAACUAAUUGCCUUCUUGCUCAAGGGGAAAUUUAUUAUUUCAAUUUAUGCCACAUUGCAUGUUGGCCAGAUGUAAUGCUGGAUUUUAUUUUAUUUUUUACCUAGUAAUUCACAAUUGAGCUUUGUAAUGAAGACGGUUGUUGUUUGGUACCCGUUUAACAACUUGGUUUUGCUUGCUGACUGAUGGAACAGUGCAAUUACCACAAUGAAUCAAAUAUCUAUGUAUAUAUUCUUUCAAUCAUUGAUUAAUUUGGGUGCCAUCUAGAUACAUUGUUUGUUUUUUGUAAACAGAGAAUUAUAGUAACUUCUACACAAAAUAUGAGAACUUUUAUACAAAAAGUAUUAAUUCAUCCUAUGUUCUUCAAAGUUGCUUCCAUAAUUUUUAAAAUUUUAACACCUCAAAAAUUUC